GAUGAAGAACGCAGCGAAAUGCGAUAAGUAAUGCGAAUUGCAGAAUUCAGUGAGUCAUCGAAUCUUUGAACGCACAUUGCGCCCUGUGGUAUUCCGCAGGGCAUGCCUGUUCGAGCGUCAUUUCAACCCUCAAGCCUCGCUUGGUGUUGGGCCCUGCCCGCUGCGGCCGGCCCUAAAGAUAGUGGCGGCGCCGCCUGGCCCUCAGCGUAGUACAGCUCUCGCUCCAGGGUCCGGCGGCAGCCUGCCAGAACCCCCCAACUCUGUGGUUGACCUCGGAUCAGGUAGGGAUACCCGCUGAACUUAAGCAUAUCAAUAAGCGGAGGA
Molecule: unclassified non-coding RNA, 324 nt
Filed under: soil metagenome
Description: partial contains 5.8S ribosomal RNA, internal transcribed spacer 2, and large subunit ribosomal RNA
Rfam family: 5.8S ribosomal RNA (bases 1-120)
Source: RNAcentral